UACGGGGGGGCAAGCGUUGUUCGGAAUUCCUGGGCGUAAAGGGCUUGUAGGCGGCCAACUAAGUCAGACGUGAAAUCCCUCGGCUUAACCGGGGAACUGCGUCUGAUACUGGAUGGCUUGAGUUCGGGAGAGGGAUGCGGAAUUCCAGGUGUAGCGGUGAAAUGCGUAGAUAUCUGGAGGAACACCGGUGGCGAAGGCGGCAUCCUGGACCGACACUGACGCUGAAAAGCGAAAGCCAGGGGAGCAAACGGG
Molecule: ribosomal RNA, 252 nt
Filed under: uncultured bacterium
Lineage: Bacteria
Description: partial 16S ribosomal RNA
Rfam family: Bacterial small subunit ribosomal RNA
Source: RNAcentral